GGGCCUGUAGCUCAAUGGUUAGAGCCGGCGGCUCAUAACCGCUUGGUUGGGAGUUCGAGUCUCUCCAGGCCCA
This is a transfer RNA of 73 nucleotides. It matches the Rfam family "tRNA". Rfam says of the family: Transfer RNA (tRNA) molecules are approximately 80 nucleotides in length. The record is from Rfam.